Long non-coding RNA from Patiria miniata (bat star), 932 nucleotides. RefSeq lists it as uncharacterized. The transcript has 4 exons. Lineage: Eukaryota; Metazoa; Echinodermata; Asteroidea; Valvatida; Asterinidae. The record is from RefSeq and is a predicted model, not a curated record.
UUGGUAAACUUUGUUUAACAUACGGAUUUUAAUUAGUCCAAAGUUGAAAAAAUGUCGAAAUUAAGUGCGUCGCAAUCAAACAUAUUGCAUUGCUUUGAAAUUGAGUAUCCUCGCGGUUACUUCAACGUCAGUCCUGCUGUAUCAAUUAACGUAUAAUUUUAACUAUCAAAGUGCAAAAUAUUAUGUCAAGAAAUAUAAACAAAAUAGCCGACUUAAUUGAACUUUGUGGCCUUUUUUAUGAAAACAUAUUAUUUGUCAGCACGCCAAAGCUGUGACGCUAGCCAAUCACACGGCGCGUAAUUUGUUCUACAUUCCAAGGUUGUGACGCUGGCCAAUCAGUUUUCAUGUACUCUCUUUGAAUCACGAUAUGGCGCGCAAGCAUAUGACCGUUACAUAUUUCGACAUCAUACUGCAGUUGUGUGGACGUGUAGCGUGCAGCCGACAUCAUUUUACUCAAAUAACAGAAGAGUUUACAAGACCUCACAGAUGACGAAACCCCACUCAGCAAUGAUUCAUACAGGAAUUGAGGAGGAGCCAAAGUCAGCAUGGAUUGUCGAACCAGUAUGGAGGAGUUAUGUAUGACUUUCGAAGAUGCUUCAGUUUGAAAUCUUUCGGACAGUACUCGCAGUGCCGUAGCUGGUGCAUGACCAAGUGAUUGAAGACAGUUCAACAAUGAUGGGCAGAGUGGAACUGAAAAAAAGCAGAUGAGGAGACGGACCUUUUCAGUUUCGCAGCGAGGUCUAGUAACUUCGUAAUCGGGCAAGGUGAUGGAUGUUGCUGCUUGUUGAGUUUUUCAUCUCCUGUCAAGUUUGCGCCUGAAAGAAGAGGUGAUGGAGGGACACACUGAGGGCCCAUGCACCUUCACAUUCAGUCGUACCUUUGGACUGUGUUAAAUAUUUCAAUAUUGGAACAGUUGAUUAAUAGUAAUUGUU